Molecule: long non-coding RNA, 3371 nt
Organism: Coturnix japonica (Japanese quail)
Lineage: Eukaryota; Metazoa; Chordata; Aves; Galliformes; Phasianidae
Source: Ensembl
GAUGCUUUCUGAAAUGUUAGUGUACUGCACAGAGGCUACUGAGGCACCAGAAAUAGGAAGCACUGCUCUGCAAAACAGCUUUUAAUGGGACUCGAACCCAUCAGGUACUGCCUGAAAACCACAUGGCCUGCUUCAGCUUCCACUCAGACUAUCUCAGGUGGUGGCUGCAAAAUGAAAAUGCUCGACUGAUAAACACUUGUGAGGUAGGUGAAAGAGGCUCUCAUUUCAAGUUCAAAUCCAACAUCUUCCCCCGCAGUUUGAGGGAGAGGAUUAGGUCCCUUUGCCACACAUUUCUCCUGUCUCCACCCCUCCCACCCCCUCCUUCAGCAUCUAUAUCCAAACCCUGCAUCUGAACAAAAAAAAAGCUGUAUCUGUCCCUUAGUAAAACAUCUUUUAUUUGCCAACUUGUUUUUCCCACAGAUUCCCGCUCCCUUUUGUGUUUGUGCUAAUGUUCCGAAUGUCUACACCGCGUAGCUGAUGAUUAUUUGUGAGACAGAGUGAGUUAAUGCAGAUUUGCAAGCUGUUCCCAUUUGUUAAAUGUCAGAAAAACACAUGCAAGUCACUGGCUUUAGCACUUAGCUGCCAGCUGGCUCUUCUGAAAGGAGGGGACAAAUGACAGUCUAUCAAACAGCAUGCUUUCAAAGAAAGAGGAGACCUGUUCCAGAACUGCAGCUUCAGAGGCUCUUUUAACAACAUAAGCAAAACUGGGAGCCAACCUCAUUUUUUCCCCCUGGCUGUAAUGAACACACAGCUUAGCUACAGCAGUCUCCCACCCCCAGUAAAAUGAACUGGAAUUACAAAGCUUAUGAAGAAAACAAGUGUCGUUUGUUGGUUUUUUGUUUUUUGUUUUGGUUUUGGUUUGUUUUGUUUUUCCCUCUAUCUUUUUCUUUUCUUUUUACUUGUUUUUCCCUAUUUCUUUCUUUUUCGGAUCAAAAGUAAGACCAAAAAUAAUGUCAAAAGGGAAAGGAGUGGGGUUCUGAGAUCAGUCUCAAAUCUCAGAAGAAGACUGCACGAAAUGGUGCCAAAUUGAAGUAUUUAUCCAUGGGUAAGUGCCCAGUGUAGAUUAACAUAUUUUAAUUAUGGUCUCUGGGUUUGCUGUGCUCCCUGAAGAACACACAGUUUAGGCCUCACUGGUGAGCCAAAGCUGUGUGUGUGUGUGGGGGGGGAUUUUUUGUUUGUCAUGCAUGCUGAUGGGGAGUGCUGUCCUCAGGAUGUGCCUUUCUCCUCCAGCAGCCUCAAGCGGAGGCAGUGCUGGAUUCUUUGUACCACUCGACAUGCUCUGAUCCCAACCUGGCUGCCCAGCGGCUGUCAGCAUGGAGGUCUGGGCAUGGUGCUGCUUGCCUGGGUGAUGUCCACCAGGGCCUCCAACAUCACCCGCUCAUUAGGAUGUCUCUGAACAGCUGUCAUGUGGUGCUGACUUUUUGUCACAGCUGACAGUGGUGAGAUUAAAGCAGGUAGCCAGAGGCUGAAAGACUCUCUUUUGUUACAAAGCUCUGAGUCAUCUAGUCUCCUGUUAUAAAUAUCAGUCGUCAGAUUUGGAUUCACACUGAGUCACUCGCAGUCUUGGGUAGGACUCAUUGCACUAAUGGGCAAUUUUGUGUUGCGGGACUAUUAGUAUACAAGAUUGCCACCACUGUCAAGAUAUCAAAAUGUGAUCUUGUGUGUUUAAUAGUUCAUAAUGAACAAGCUGUACUACUCUACUGAACAUCUUCCACUUAUUCAGUACGAUUUUGAAGAGAGUAGUCAAUUCCCAAAGUUCUUCCUGAUUCACACUCAGUGUUGGAUCCAGAAAACAUACGGGGAGGAAGGAGCAUCGUGUAGGGCAAGAUUCAGGUGUUAUGCUUUGUUACAUGAAGUCAAGUGCUGCCUUCACUAAAUUACCAGAUUCAUUUUCACAGGCAAAAGAGAGAGGCAGAACUAUGAAGGUCGCCUGCAUAGAUUUAAUAGAAGGGAGGCACUACUGCUUACUUCUAUCACUGCAGGGACUCCAGGUGUCCCAGGUGACUUUAGGAUCAGUUCUAGCCAAUGAAAUGGGGGGGGGGAAAAAAACCAAAACAACGUGAAAUGAAGACAAGUGCAUCUUAAGAGCAAUCUAAAAGACGGACUUUGGCUUUGAAAGUAGCCUUAGAUUGUCAUCCAAACCACACCUACUCUUAACUUCUUGAUCCAAGGGAAGCAAAUACUCUCUGGAUAUGUAAGUUUUUACCCUGAAAAUAUACCCUAGGGAACCCUCAAUUUGAAAGCAAGUGGCUAACUCCGACAUUAAUCUCUGCGAGAUCCUGGAAUUAGGCAAAGUUAAGCCUCUAAAUCUGAUAAGUACAAGCUGAACAAUCUUCACUGUCUUCAGGAUCAAUGCAUGGCCUUGUUUCUGUCUUCCUUCAAAGAAAAAACAACUCUAGAUAUAACCAAAAGAUGAGAUUUCCUAAGUUCCAGGCUAUAGGCAUUCAAAAGAGUAUGAAACAAGAUACCUCAAUUACUCUAAGCUUUCCUUUAAGGUCUCAAAUUGUAGACUUUUAGUCAAUCUGGAGAAACACUGUGAGAGUCAUUGUUCUGCAGCUGGAGCAACUUCACUCCAUUUUGAAUUUCAGGUGUUCAGGGUCUUCAGAGCUAGAUCCACUGAGAUAUUUAGACCCGCGGAUAUUUUGGCACCCAACUUCUGUUUGUCCCACCACAUAUAUUAACAGAGCUUAAAGUCAACUUGGCUGUAAAGAGCAUCAGAAAAUGAAAGUAUCAAGCAAUAUCUGUCUUUAGAGAGAGAGAAGGCAGUUGUUAUCUAAAAAUUUCCCCCACAUUAGGUUCUUAUUAUCUUUCCUUUUGCACCAUCAACUGUUCCAUGCAAUUGUGCUUGGAAUCGUUCAACUGAAAAGAAAGGCUCCCCUGUCCAUCUUCCUGGCAAACGUGUUCAAAGGUACCUCCUUUUUUCAUUCCCUUUCUUGGAUCUGGCUGGCAAAGCUUAUCAAACAGAGCGUUAACGUCAUAGCCUCUCUAAGUCUCCAAAGUCUGACCCCAAAUACAGAGAUCACUGAAUCUGUUGCAGGUUAGCAUAUGGCACUUGUUUGAGAGCACUGUUAGUGAAAGACUGAAUCCGACAGUCUGACAGAUCCAAGUGUGUUGUAGCUAGCUCUGUGCCUUAUAUCCAACCACUAUUGAUGCUGGAAGUAUCCUGCCUAUAGAUACACACACAGGCACUCAUAUGCAGCAUAUAUGCAUUUAGGAAUAUAUAUACACAUCCACAUAGGUCACAAGUAGACACAGAGAGCACUCAUACAAACAGCCUGUACAAACCACUUCAUCCUGUCCUCUAUCUGGCUGAUGAGACUGAAAGUCUGUCAGUGCAUAAUAAUAAAAAUACAAAUAUAUAUGUGUAUGCA